AUUGAACGCUGGCGGAAUGCUUUACACAUGCAAGUCGAACGGCAGCACGGACUUCGGUCUGGUGGCGAGUGGCGAACGGGCGAGUAAUGUAUCGGAACGUGCCCAGUCGUGGGGGAUAACGUAGUGAAAAUUACGCUAAUACCGCAUACGAUCUAUGGAUGAAAGCGGGGGAUCGCAAGACCUCGCGCGUUUGGAGCGGCCGAUAUCAGAUUAGGUAGUUGGUGGGGUAAAGGCCCACCAAGCCAACGAUCUGUAGCUGGUCUGAGAGGACGACCAGCCACACUGGAACUGCGACACGGUCCAGAGUCCUACGGGAGGCAGCAGUGGGGAAUUUUGGACAAUGGGCGAAAGCCUGAUCCAGCCAUUCCGCGUGCAGGAUGAAGGCCCUCGGGUUGUAAACUGCUUUUGUACAGAACGAAAAGGUUUCUACUAAUACUAGGAGCUCAUGACGGUACUGUAAGAAUAAGCACCGGCUAACUACGUGCCAGCCGCCGCCGUAA
This 500-nucleotide ribosomal RNA is filed under the name uncultured bacterium. RNAcentral describes it as "partial 16S ribosomal RNA". It matches the Rfam family "Bacterial small subunit ribosomal RNA", at positions 30 to 523 of the family's 1533-position model. The record is from RNAcentral.